GCCCUCAGUGGCUCAGAUGGAUAGAGCAUCUGCCAUGUAAGCAGGAGGUCCUGGGUUCUAGUCCCAGUUGGGGCA
RNAcentral lists this transfer RNA (75 nucleotides) under Schistocerca americana (American grasshopper). RNAcentral describes it as "tRNA-Thr". It matches the Rfam family "tRNA". From Rfam's summary of the family: Transfer RNA (tRNA) molecules are approximately 80 nucleotides in length. Their secondary structure includes four short double-helical elements and three loops (D, anti-codon, and T loops). The record is from RNAcentral. Lineage: Eukaryota; Metazoa; Arthropoda; Insecta; Orthoptera; Acrididae.